This is a small nuclear RNA of Vulpes vulpes (red fox), 155 nucleotides long. Its record names the gene U4. It matches the Rfam family "U4 spliceosomal RNA". From Rfam's summary of the family: U4 small nuclear RNA (U4 snRNA) is a component of the major U2-dependent spliceosome. The structure of U4 snRNA from yeast and human has been reported. U4 snRNA presents a k-turn RNA motif in the 5p-SL related to recognition of Snu13 protein. The record is from Ensembl. NCBI's taxonomy places the organism in Eukaryota, Metazoa, Chordata, Mammalia, Carnivora, Canidae.
AGCUUUGCGCAGUGGCAGUAUCGUAGCCAAUGAGGUUUAUCCGAGGCGCGAUUAUUGCUGAUUGAAAAGUGAGUGCUGGCCAGGAGAACAGGUGCAUGCAGAUGCUCAGCAAACAUUCAUUGAGCACCUAUUGUGCAUCACCUUCUGUUUUAGGU